This 67-nucleotide transfer RNA is filed under the name Rhabdosynochus viridisi. RNAcentral's name for it is "tRNA-Leu". Lineage: Eukaryota; Metazoa; Platyhelminthes; Monogenea; Dactylogyridea; Diplectanidae. The record is from RNAcentral.
AAUACAGAUGUCAGAAUUUUAUGAGUUAAUUUUAAGCGUUAAAUAUGGGCUAGGGCUCUCUGUAUUA